ACGGAGGGUGCAAGCGUUAAUCGGAAUCACUGGGCGUAAAGCGCUCGUAGGCGGUUUGGUCAGUCAGAUGUGAAAGCCCACGGCUUAACCGUGGAACUGCAUUUGAUACUGCCAGACUUGAGUGUCGGAGAGGGUGGCGGAAUUCCGGGUGUAGGAGCGAGAUCAGGAGAUAUCCGGAGGAGCACCAGUGGCGUAGGCGGCCACCUGGACGACAACUGACGCUGAGGAGCGAAAGCGUGGGGAGGAAACAG
This 251-nucleotide ribosomal RNA is filed under the name uncultured prokaryote. RNAcentral describes it as "partial 16S rRNA". It matches the Rfam family "Bacterial small subunit ribosomal RNA", at positions 525 to 775 of the family's 1533-position model. The record is from RNAcentral.